Molecule: ribosomal RNA, 436 nt
Filed under: Staphylococcus argenteus
Lineage: Bacteria; Bacillati; Bacillota; Bacilli; Caryophanales; Staphylococcaceae
Description: partial 23S ribosomal RNA
Rfam family: Bacterial large subunit ribosomal RNA
Source: RNAcentral
UGAGCUGUGAUGGGGAGAAGACAUUGUGUCUUCGAGUCGUUGAUUUCACACUGCCGAGAAAAGCCUCUAGAUAGAAAAUAGGUGCCCGUACCGCAAACCGACACAGGUAGUCAAGAUGAGAAUUCUAAGGUGAGCGAGCGAACUCUCGUUAAGGAACUCGGCAAAAUGACCCCGUAACUUCGGGAGAAGGGGUGCUCUUUAGGGUUAACGCCCAGAAGAGCCGCAGUGAAUAGGCCCAAGCGACUGUUUAUCAAAAACACAGGUCUCUGCUAAACCGUAAGGUGAUGUAUAGGGGCUGACGCCUGCCCGGUGCUGGAAGGUUAAGAGGAGUGGUUAGCUUCUGCGAAGCUACGAAUCGAAGCCCCAGUAAACGGCGGCCGUAACUAUAACGGUCCUAAGGUAGCGAAAUUCCUUGUCGGGUAAGUUCCGACCCGCA